UGUUGCAGAGAGAGAGAGAGGUAAUAUAGUAAUAGUGUUGCAGAGAGAGAGAGGUAAUAUAGUAAUAGUGUUGCAGAGAGAGAGAGAGGUAAUAUUGUAAUAGUGUUGCAGAGAGAGAGAGAGAGAGGUAAUAUAGUAAUAGUGUUGCAGAGAGAGAGAGAAAGAGGUAAUAUAGUAAUAGUGUUGCAGAGAGAGAGAGGUAAUAUAGUAAUAGUGUUGCAGAGAGAGACAGGUAAUAUAGUAAUAGUGUUGCAGAGAGAGAGAGGUAAUAUAGUAAUAGUGUUGCAGAGAGAGAGAGAGAGAGGUAAUAUAGUAAUAGUGUUGCAGAGAGAGAGAGGUAAUAUAGUAAUAGUGUUGCAGAGAGAGAGGUAA
Molecule: long non-coding RNA, 372 nt
Filed under: Oncorhynchus mykiss (rainbow trout)
Lineage: Eukaryota; Metazoa; Chordata; Actinopteri; Salmoniformes; Salmonidae
Description: lncRNA (ENSOMYG00000055726.1)
Source: RNAcentral